Molecule: small RNA, 815 nt
Filed under: Macrophomina phaseolina
Lineage: Eukaryota; Fungi; Ascomycota; Dothideomycetes; Botryosphaeriales; Botryosphaeriaceae
Description: eukaryotic LSU rRNA
Rfam family: 5.8S ribosomal RNA (bases 135-288)
Source: RNAcentral
ACCUCUGUUGCUUUGGCGGGCCGCGGUCUUCCGCGGCCGCCCCCCGAUUUUGGGGGGUGGCUAGUGCCCGCCAGAGGACUAUCAAACUCCAGUCAGUAAACGUUGCAGUCUGAAAAAAAUAUUAAAUAAACUAAAACUUUCAACAACGGAUCUCUUGGUUCUGGCAUCGAUGAAGAACGCAGCGAAAUGCGAUAAGUAAUGUGAAUUGCAGAAUUCAGUGAAUCAUCGAAUCUUUGAACGCACAUUGCGCCCCUUGGUAUUCCGGGGGGCAUGCCUGUUCGAGCGUCAUUUCAACCCUCAAGCUCUGCUUGGUAUUGGGCACCGUCCUUUGCGGGCGCGCCUCAAAGACCUCGGCGGUGGCGUCUUGCCUCAAGCGUAGUAGAAUACACCUCGCUUCGGAGCGUAAGGCGUCGCCCGCCGGACGAACCUUCUGAACUUUUCUCAAGGUUGACCUCGGAUCAGGUAGGGAUACCCGCUGAACUUAAGCAUAUCUAAACCGGGGGAGGAAAAAUUACGAGUUGAUGCCGGCUCCUCCCGAUCCUCCACCAUUGUAUACAUACCUCUGUUGCUUUGGCGGGCCCCGGCUCUUCCGCGGCGCGCGAUGUUGGGGGGUGGCUAGUGCCCGCCAGAGGACUAUCAAACUCGUCUUAAACGUUGCAUCUGAAAAAAAUAUUAAAUAAACUAAAACUUUCAACAACGGAUCUCUGGGUUCUGGCAUCGAUAAAAACGCAGCGCAGUGCGAUAGUAAUGUGAAUUGCAGAAAUCAGUGAAUCAUCGAAUCUUGAACGCACAUUGCGCCCUUGGUAUUCGGGGGC